Molecule: transfer RNA, 58 nt
Filed under: Pelargonium exhibens
Lineage: Eukaryota; Viridiplantae; Streptophyta; Magnoliopsida; Geraniales; Geraniaceae
Description: tRNA-Met
Rfam family: tRNA
About the family: Transfer RNA (tRNA) molecules are approximately 80 nucleotides in length. Their secondary structure includes four short double-helical elements and three loops (D, anti-codon, and T loops). Further hydrogen bonds mediate the characteristic L-shaped molecular structure. tRNAs have two regions of fundamental functional importance: the anti-codon, which is responsible for specific mRNA codon recognition, and the 3' end, to which the tRNAs corresponding amino acid is attached (by aminoacyl-tRNA synthetases). tRNAs cope with the degeneracy of the genetic code in two manners: having more than one tRNA (with a specific anti-codon) for a particular amino acid; and 'wobble' base-pairing, i.e. permitting non-standard base-pairing at the 3rd anti-codon position.
Source: RNAcentral
GGCGGAGUAGAGCAGCCUGGUAGCUCGCAAGGCUCAUAACCUUGAGGUCACGGGUUCA